RNAcentral lists this unclassified non-coding RNA (238 nucleotides) under plant metagenome. RNAcentral describes it as "partial contains small subunit ribosomal RNA, internal transcribed spacer 1, and 5.8S ribosomal RNA". The record is from RNAcentral.
UUUCCGUAGGUGAACCUGCGGAAGGAUCAUUACCGAGUGAGGGUCUCUCAGGCCCGACCUCCCACCCUGUGUUUUUGUGACCUUGUCGCUUUGGCGGGUCCGCCUCGAGGAGAGGCCGCCGGAAGCUCACCGCUUGGGGCCCGUGCCCGCCAGUAGCCCCCUUAAAUUCUUAAUAAACCUGUCUUCGAAGUCUAGAUAUAAUAAAAAAAAACUUUCAACAACGGAUCUCUUGGUUCUG